CAGGCGGUUUUGUAAGACAGAUGUGAAAUCCCCGGGCUUAACUGGAACUGCGUUUAUGACUGCAAGACUUGAGUGCGGCAGAGGGGGGUGGAAUUCCACGUGUAGCAGUGAAAUGCGUAGAGAUGNGGAGGAACACCGAUGGCGAAGGCAGCCCCCUGGGUCGACACUGACGCUCAUGCACGAAAGCGUGGGGGAGCAAACAGGAUUAGAUACCCUGGUAGUCCACGCCCUAAACGAUGCCAACUAGGUGUUGGGGAAGGAGACUUCCUUAGUACCGUAGCUAACGCGUGAAGUUGGCCGCCUGGGGAGUACGGUCGCAAGAUUAAAACUCAAAGGAAUUGACGGGGACCCGCACAAGCGGUGGAUGAUGUGGAUUAAUUCGAUGCAACGCGAAAAACCUUACCUACCCUUGACAUGUCCGGAAGCCUGCUGAAAGGUGGGUGUGCUCGAAAGAGAGCCGGAACACAGGUGCUGCAUGGCUGUCGUCAGUUCGUGUCGUGAGAUGUUGGGUUAAGUCCCGCAACGAGCGCAACCCUUGUCGUUAAUUGCCAUCAUUCAGUUGGGCACUUUAGCGAGACUGCCGGUGACAAACCGGAGGAAGGUGGGGAUGACGUCAAGUCCUCAUGGCCCUUAUGGGUAGGGCUUCACACGUCAUACAAUGGUCGGUACAGAGGGUUGCCAAACCGCGAGGUGGAGCCAAUCCCAGAAAGCCGAUCGUAGUCCGGAUCGUAGUCUGCAACUCGACUGCGUGAAGUCGGAAUCGCUAGUAAUCGCGGAUCAGCAUGCCGCGGUGAAUACGUUCCCGGGUCUUGUACACACCGCCCGUCACACCAUGGGAGCGGGUUUCACCAGAAGUAGGUAGUCUAACCGCAAGGAGGGCGCUUACCAC
This 889-nucleotide ribosomal RNA is filed under the name uncultured organism. RNAcentral's name for it is "bacterial SSU rRNA". It matches the Rfam family "Bacterial small subunit ribosomal RNA", at positions 572 to 1460 of the family's 1533-position model. The record is from RNAcentral.